Molecule: ribosomal RNA, 500 nt
Filed under: uncultured bacterium
Lineage: Bacteria
Description: partial 16S ribosomal RNA
Rfam family: Bacterial small subunit ribosomal RNA
Source: RNAcentral
AUUGAACGCUGGCGGAAUGCUUUACACAUGCAAGUCGAACGGCAGCACGGACUUCGGUCUGGUGGCGAGUGGCGAACGGGUGAGUAAUGUAUCGGAACGUGCCCAGUCGUGGGGGAUAACGUAGUGAAAAUUACGCUAAUACCGCAUACGAUCUAUGGAUGAAAGCGGGGGAUCGCAAGACCUCGCGCGAUUGGAGCGGCCGAUAUCAGAUUAGGUAGUUGGUGGGGUAAAGGCCCACCAAGCCAACGAUCUGUAGCUGGUCUGAGAGGACGACCAGCCACACUGGAACUGAGACACGGUCCAGACUCCUACGGGAGGCAGCAUGGGGGAAUUUUGGACAAUGGGCGAAAGCCUGAUCCAGCCAUUCCGCGUGCAGGAUGAAGGCCCUCGGGUUGUAAACUGCUUUUGUACAGAACGAAAAGGUUUCUACUAAUACUAGGAGCUCAUGACGGUACUGUAAGAAUAAGCACCGGCUAACUACAUGCCAGCCGCCGCAGUAA